GUGUCAGCCGCCGCGGUAAUACGUAGGUGGCGAGCGUUGUCCGGAUUUAUUGGGCGUAAAGGGAGUGUAGGCGGUCUUUUAAGUCUGAUGUGAAAGCCCACGGCUCAACCGUGGAGGGUCAUUGGAAACUGGAAAACUUGAGUGCAGAAGAGGAAAGUGGAAUUCCAUGUGUAGCGGUGAAAUGCGCAGAGAUAUGGAGGAACACCAGUGGCGAAGGCGACUUUCUGGUCUGUAACUGACGCUGAUGUGCGAAAGCGUGGGGAUCAAACAGGAUUAGAAACCCCAGUAGUCC
This 292-nucleotide ribosomal RNA is filed under the name uncultured Staphylococcus sp. RNAcentral describes it as "partial 16S ribosomal RNA". It matches the Rfam family "Bacterial small subunit ribosomal RNA", at positions 505 to 796 of the family's 1533-position model. Lineage: Bacteria; Bacillati; Bacillota; Bacilli; Caryophanales; Staphylococcaceae. The record is from RNAcentral.